This 270-nucleotide ribosomal RNA is filed under the name uncultured bacterium. RNAcentral describes it as "partial 16S ribosomal RNA". It matches the Rfam family "Bacterial small subunit ribosomal RNA", at positions 28 to 298 of the family's 1533-position model. The record is from RNAcentral.
GACGAACGCUGGCGGCGUGCUUAACACAUGCAAGUCGAGCGGUAAGGCCCUUUCGGGGGUACACGAGCGGCGAACGGGUGAGUAACACGUGGGUGACCUGCCUUUAGCUCUGGGAUAAGCCUGGGAAACCGGGUCUAAUACCGGAUAUGACUCCGCGGCGCAUGUUGUGGGGUGGAAAGCCUUGUGCGGCUGGAGAUGGGCCCGCGGCCUAUCAGCUUGGUUGGUGGGGUGAUGGCCUACCAAGGCGACGACGGGUAGCCGGCCUGAGGA